CUGGUGAACAAAAUGGCGGCCACUGAUGCUCCAACUACGAUCAUUCCAGGAUGUCAGGGUCUUGCAGGGUACUGGGUACCAGGAAGUGGAAUACUUGUUCAUAAGUCAGAUAUCCAGUCAAACAAGUAGUGCAAUGGAUCCAAGCAGGAACCCACAAAAGUUCUUGACAUGCACUAUUACUUUUCAUCUCAAUUGGUUGAAUCAUGCCUUGCAGAUUAUUUUGGAGUAUCUCAGGGCUCAGAGCACUGCCAAAUUCCUGUUCUACAUGAGGUCCAAUGGGGAGCAGAUUUUCAAAGUUUAAUAACCCGCAAAUUGAUUAAUGAAACACACGCCAUUUUUAUGGAUCUUCAACAUGUUCCUGAUUCUGGAGGAACAGGGAGAAAGGCAAGCUUGAUAAAGUUCAGUAGAAGAUACAGAAGUGUAGUAAGAGCAUGCAUCUUGGAUCUGGAAGAAAAGUCUGAUGCUAAUGAACCUCUGGGUGAUUUAAGAUUCAAAGUUCCUCCAUCUGCUUCACAAAAGCAACUGUUAACACUUAUAGAGACUGUCUGGCAUCUGUGUGAGAUACUUUUUAUUGAAACGUUGCCAGGAGGGGCUGUUUUGCAUUAUUUGUUGGAAUGGGUUCAAAAUGGACAUGCAGAGAGGUAUAUUAAAGAGGUACUACAGCAUCUGCAGCCUUAUAAUAGCCCUUCAUACUGGCCAGCUAUCUACUGUUUGGUUCUCCAAGGUCGUGUUAAUGAUGUGCGUGAACUGCUUGCUCAGCAUCCUGACAGACAAGCAGGAAAAUAUGAUGCGUUUGCAAGCAUGGAUGAACUUCUUCAUAAAAUGCCCAUGUAUCAGUUGUACAUGGGACAGAGCUUAGCAGAGUUCACCAUGAAAUGGAGUCACUGGCAGCAAGAGUGUAAACAUUGUCUAGAUAAUGAAACAUAUGCUGGAAAUGAACACUUGCAAAAAAUUUGUCAGAUACUUUGUGGCGAAGAACAAAUAUUUGAUGAAAUGAUAGAAUACUGCAAGAACUGGUACGAACUUCUUGUAGCCAAACUGUUGUACUGUAAUCCAGCAGUCAAGUCUUAUGACUUACAGUACCACACACAGGCCUGCAUCGACAUGUUUGGAGGUAGUGGAAGUUUGCGCAGUUUAGACAGAAUUCUGCUCUCAGCUUUUGAAUUUGAUGUCUACGCUGUGAUCAAGGAAAGCAGCGAGGCUCUUGGAAACUGGUGGUUUGUUGCCCAUCUGACUGACUUACUUCAUCAUUGUGGACAGUUGGAUUCGCCUCCCAUCAGCCACAGUAUCAGUCUGAGAGAGUUCCUACUCCUAGAGUAUUCCGCCAGCCUCAUGUCGCAUCACAGCCUUUGGAGAGUUGCAGUGGACUACCUUCUGCAGUGUCCGGUUUACGGAAGGGCACACCUUGAAGAGUACAUUGAGCAUCUACCUCUUGAGACAGACAAGAAAGCCAUGAAAGUGCUCAGGCUGUGCGAAGACUUGGAAAUGCUUGCGCAAGCUCAGUCCAUUUGUAAGACUAUGAGCAUGAACGCGUUGAGGAAUGGGAGACUGGGAGCUGCAUUGGCUUGGUGCCUUAGAUCUAAGGACUCUACAUUUGCAGCUUUUAUUUCAGAAAGGUUUCUCACAGAGUAUUGUAAGAGCGGGGGAUUUUCAAAUUUGGACCUGAUCGACAAUCUUGGAUCCGCCAUGCUCUUAAGCGAUCGACUUACGUUUCUUGGGAAAUAUCGCGAGUUCCAUAAAAUGUACGAGGAAGGCAAGUUUCAUGAAGCUGCCAAUUUGCUGAUAUCUUUGCUGACAUCAAAGCUCGCUCCACAAAGGUUGUGGCUGACGCUGCUAACGGAUACCUUACCUCUCCUGGAACAUAAAGAGGUGAUCUUCUCAAGCGCACAGACAUACGAACUUAUGCACUGCCUCGAAGCAAUAAGGCUCUCGUUUAGGACAAAGGAGUACCUGGACCAUCCUGACAAGGAACCCACCGACGAGCCCUUGAUCAGAACUUUAACACAGGGUCCAGAGUCACAAUCAGCGAAGAGUACUAAGGAAUACCAACAAACUCGUCACACAAAAAUCACCUGCGUGAGUUGUUUUGGGCCAUUCGUUUCUUCAAAACUUUCCCGCUGCCAAGGAAAAGGAUUAGAGAAAUUGAGAAGGAUAUUUUUUCCUUCUCUAAACAAUAACUUCCUGACAGGUUUUCCAGAUGCAACUUCGUAAAUUUGCCAUCCGAUCCAGCUGAAACUUCUGCCAGUGUCAGGAAGUUCAAUGAACUCACUGCUUACAUGAUAGAAAAUCAACUGAACGGAGCUGAGCAGGAACUGGAAAUAAUUUCAUAUCUUGUUUAUCAUCGAUUCUUAAAUCAAGGCUUAUGAUACGAUAGGAUUGAUCAGAAAUGGAGUUAUGGAUCAGAUGGACUCGUAUAAUUAUAAUUAGAGGUCUUAUCAGCAUUUGAAGAGCGGCCGAUCGGAAAAGAAAA
This is a non-coding RNA of Pocillopora verrucosa, 2470 nucleotides long. The record is from RefSeq and is a predicted model, not a curated record. Lineage: Eukaryota; Metazoa; Cnidaria; Anthozoa; Scleractinia; Pocilloporidae.